UCAGAGGCGAUGAAGGACGUGCUAAUCUGCGAUAAGCGUCGGUAAGGUGAUAUGAACCGUUAUAACCGGCGAUUUCCGAAUGGGGAAACCCAGUGUGUUUCGACACACUAUCAUUAACUGAAUCCAUAGGUUAAUGAGGCGAACCGGGGGAACUGAAACAUCUAAGUACCCCGAGGAAAAGAAAUCAACCGAGAUUCCCCCAGUAGCGGCGAGCGAACGGG
RNAcentral lists this ribosomal RNA (221 nucleotides) under Acinetobacter baumannii. RNAcentral's name for it is "partial 23S ribosomal RNA". It matches the Rfam family "Bacterial large subunit ribosomal RNA", at positions 40 to 261 of the family's 2925-position model. Lineage: Bacteria; Pseudomonadati; Pseudomonadota; Gammaproteobacteria; Moraxellales; Moraxellaceae. The record is from RNAcentral.